GAGUUCCUGAUGUUUCUUUCCACUGCCAUUGAGCGUGUAUUAAACAAGGAUGCAGGAGUCCUAUGGCUUUUAGCAUCAUCUCCCUGCUGCUUUGCUUCAGAGAAACAUAAUUCAGUUUAUAAUUCUUCAGGUCCCCUGAACUGAAGAAAGAAAGAAGAGAACCAGACCUUUGGCCAACCCUACUGUCUCCCACACAGAGCAGAGGAGAGGGACCAGCAUCCUGGAGGACCAGGAGCAGAGGUUCUGCUGAGAAAUAUGGGCAAUCCCCUGAAGAUUACAGUCCAGAUGCUGUCACAAAACAGAAAGGGGCACCUGGGCAGGCUCUGCAAAGACUGUGCCAGGUCACCAUGCAGGAGAUCCCAGAGGCACUUUGUUUCAUGUUUCUCCCGAGACCAGGUACUCUGAUAUUUAUUGAGUACCUACUGUGUGCCAAGAGCAUCACAGGCUGUCCAGAACCUCUGUCCAGAGAGUUAAGAAUUCAGCAUGGCACUCCUUGUACCUUCAGACUAUAAAACACAAGGAAACACGUUGACUGCGUAGCUUGCCUCUCAUCUUAGAGCCAGAGUGCAUAUAUAAUAAGAACUGGG
Molecule: long non-coding RNA, 587 nt
Filed under: Chinchilla lanigera (long-tailed chinchilla)
Lineage: Eukaryota; Metazoa; Chordata; Mammalia; Rodentia; Chinchillidae
Description: lncRNA (ENSCLAG00000022441.1)
Source: RNAcentral